Molecule: ribosomal RNA, 467 nt
Filed under: uncultured bacterium
Lineage: Bacteria
Description: partial 16S ribosomal RNA
Rfam family: Bacterial small subunit ribosomal RNA
Source: RNAcentral
GACGAACGCUGGCGGCGUGCUUAACACAUGCAAGUCGAACGGAAAGGCCCUGCUUUUGUGGGGUGCUCGAGUGGCGAACGGGUGAGUAACACGUGAGUAACCUGCCCUUGACUUUGGGAUAACUUCAGGAAACUGGGGCUAAUACCGGAUAGGAGCUCCUGCUGCAUGGUGGGGGUUGGAAAGUUUCGGCGGUUGGGGAUGGACUCGCGGCUUAUCAGCUUGUUGGUGGGGUAGUGGCUUACCAAGGCUUUGACGGGUAGCCGGCCUGAGAGGGUGACCGGCCACAUUGGGACUGAGAUACGGCCCAGACUCCUACGGGAGGCAACAGUGGGGAAUAUUGCACAAUGGGCGGAAGCCUGAUGCAGCAACGCCGCGUGCGGGAUGACGGCCUUCGGGUUGUAAGCCGCUUUCGCCUGUGACGAAGCGUGAGUGACGGUAAUGGGUAAAGAAGCACCGGCUAACUACGU